Gouania willdenowi (blunt-snouted clingfish) is the source of this 2582-nucleotide long non-coding RNA. Ensembl annotates it as cyclic AMP receptor-like protein A. NCBI's taxonomy places the organism in Eukaryota, Metazoa, Chordata, Actinopteri, Blenniiformes, Gobiesocidae. The record is from Ensembl.
CACCGUAGUAGAAGCCGGAAGUCCCUGCUAAGCUAACAUCAACAAAAACAAUAAACCAGCGCCAAAGUGUAAAAAAAAUGAGUGUUACUGAGUUGGGAAAUGACGGAGAGCAGCCGAAGCUUACAAGUAACGAAUCCCGCUGCAUAUUCUUUAACACAGACUCAGAGGACUACCAUUGUGUGGUGAUCUUAGCAGUCAGACGAGCAACGGGAACCUUUUCUUUGAUAGGAUGCUUGUUCAUGCUGUUUGUGAUCUGGCUGCUGCGGAGGUAUCACUCUUUGGCCCAGAAGAUGAUACUCAGUUUGACUGUGGCUGCCCUCUUUGACAGUGUAGCAUAUGUCAUGGGGGAAUCUCAUCCACAGGGAUCUCUGUGUAGCUUUCAAGCCUGGUGGCUGACAUACUUUGACUGGAGUGCCUUGGUUUGGGUUUGCCUGAUCACACUGAACCUGUACCUGAACCUGGUUAGAGAGAUAAGCACCAUUAGAUAUGAGAUGUUGUACCAUCUGAUGGCGUGGGGUGUGCCUUUGGUCAUGGCCUCUUUGCCGCUGCUCAAGGGUUAUUACGGCCCUGCAGGACCCUGGUGCUGGAUCACAGCCGAUCACGUAGCCUGGAGAUUUGGGAUAUGGUACGUGCCUCUUUUCAGCCUCAUUAUCCUGAUGAUGUGCUGCUAUGGCAGGAUCAUCUGUGUGGCCAAUCAGCGGAUACAGUCGUGGUUGGGAACCUUCAACCCCGAACGGGAGAGACGAAAGGUUUCCUUGGCAGAGGAGAUCAAGCCAUUGAAGUGGUAUCCAUCUGUAUAUCUGCUGGUUUCCAUCUUUCCUCUCAUCAACAGACUGCAUAAUGUCCUCUACCCUCAGAACCCAUUCUUCUCCCUCACAUUGUUGCACGUCCUGUCAGCACCACUCCAUGGCUUGGCCAAUGCUUUUGUCUUUGGCUUGGAUAGAGAAUGGUGGAGCCUUGUGAGCCCAACUGGCAUGCAGCUGGCUCUGCAGUCUCGGCUCUGUGACAGGACUCGAAUCGGAGAGUACCACCCUGGAGCGGUACGCUACACGCAGGCUGACCUUGUGGACCACAGCGAUGACGAUGACGAUGACACCAACGUUCUCUUCUACUCACCUGACAUGACCCUGAAAGACCGAGGGCCCUGAGAGAGAACCGUGGAAUAGGAGAGAGGAAGCAGGGAGACAAAGAGACGACGCAAAGGAGCACGAAGAAGGGUCACAGCCAGGGAGAAACACGACGGAUUAGAAACUGAGAGGCAGGAAAAAGAGGUAGGGAGGGAAUGGAGGAGAAGAUUGGGAGGACAUUCAGGCAGAUAGGAGCCGGAGAUGAGCUGUCAGGUUCCAUUAUUAAUCCCCAUCCUUUACUAUUUAAUAUCCUAAAGACGCACACAGCACACAUACUGAGCAGAGCAGCAGCUCACUGCAAUGCUGCCCACUCUAAAGACCCCUCUAAUGUUAGAGUCAUCUGCUGCAGUGCAAAGGUCUAGAAACCUAAUCUUCUUUUCUUUUCUGUUUUUUUCUCACCAUUUUCCUAAUCCUGUGUUGUGUCGUAUUUGGUCUCCAAGACAGGAAAUAGAUCAAGAAAAAACAACAUGUUGUUUUUAGCUUGAGCAACAAUUCUCUGCAGUAGAUGUGUUGAAAAGCAGAUAUUUAAAAGGAACUCUAAGCGAAGAAUGCAAAAAGAUAAAAUUAAAUGAUAGGAAAUCAGGCAUAGGAUGUAUUGAAAGAAAAUCAAUCUGACCACUAAAAGUCACUCCAAAAAAGUGCUGGUUUUUUUUAAAAGCAUUUGUUUUACAGCUAAUUGUGGCCAUCAGAGUUUUUUUUUUUUUUACAAAAGUUUGAAUUUUUUGUUCUUUUUUUAUUACCAUUAGACUUGUUCGUUAUACUAUAUUUAUGAGAUCAAUACUGUGUGUAUAUAUGUGAAAGUUCUAUUUUUGUACGUGCCUGAGACGAGAAAUUUAAAGAAAUCUUCAAAUCCAAGCCUGACAUCGUCACGUGACAGACAAGCACGGCAUCAUUCACAGCACACACACCGUCACAAUCCACGGGAGGAAAAGGGAAAAAAAAGCAGCCAUUAGUCAAACAUGUUCCCACGCACACACUCAGGCAGGUUUCAAAGGUGCUUGUCAAAACAGGUUGGAAAAGAUGACACACACUGCGACACCCACGGCGCAGCAUCAGCUUUGAUGGUUCAUCAUCUCGUGGCCUUUUGUCAGUCGUCGCUGAGCGGACAGCUGAGGUGUGAUUGGCAGGAUAAUGGAGCCACUUUAUAUUCAACCACAGCCAGCUUAGUUUUUCAACAUCCAGGUGGGUACCAUGGUGGUGGUUGAUGGGCGCUGUCCUCCAUGCAGCUGUCAGCCACCGCCCCUCUGACAGGGUGAACUAAUGAACUGACAUUUGACACCCCCCACCCCUAAGGUUUCAGACUUAUCAUUGGGUGUCUGUGGCACCCCAAUACAACUUGGGUUUGCAAUACGACACUAAAAUGCAACGCGCACUCAUUUCCAUAAUAUCUGGCACUGUUGCUGGUUGUACUCGACUGUGCACUCCAUCAAAUAAAUGAGCAGCACAGACAUUUCA